RNAcentral lists this ribosomal RNA (403 nucleotides) under uncultured bacterium. Its description in RNAcentral is "bacterial SSU rRNA". It matches the Rfam family "Bacterial small subunit ribosomal RNA", at positions 509 to 916 of the family's 1533-position model. The record is from RNAcentral.
CAGCAGCCGCGGUAAUACGGAGGAUCCAAGCGUUAUCCGGAAUCAUUGGGUUUAAAGGGUCCGUAGGCGGUUUAGUAAGUCAGUGGUGAAAGCCCAUCGCUCAGCGGUGGAACGGCCAUUGAUACUGCUAAACUUGAAUUAUUAGGAAGUAACUAGAAUAUGUAGUGUAGCGGUGAAAUGCUUAGAGAUUACAUGGAAUACCAAUUGCGAAGGCAGGUUACUACUAAUGGAUUGACGCUGAUGGACGAAAGCGUGGGUAGCGAACAGGAUUAGAUACCCUGGUAGUCCACGCCGUAAACGAUGGAUACUAGCUGUUGGAAGCAAUUUCAGUGGCUAAGCGAAAGUGAUAAGUAUCCCACCUGGGGAGUACGUUCGCAAGAAUGAAACUCAAAGGAAUUGACGG